This 87-nucleotide transfer RNA is filed under the name Desulfovibrionales bacterium GWA2_65_9. Its description in RNAcentral is "tRNA-Leu". It matches the Rfam family "tRNA". Rfam says of the family: Transfer RNA (tRNA) molecules are approximately 80 nucleotides in length. Their secondary structure includes four short double-helical elements and three loops (D, anti-codon, and T loops). Further hydrogen bonds mediate the characteristic L-shaped molecular structure. tRNAs have two regions of fundamental functional importance: the anti-codon, which is responsible for specific mRNA codon recognition, and the 3' end, to which the tRNAs corresponding amino acid is attached (by aminoacyl-tRNA synthetases). tRNAs cope with the degeneracy of the genetic code in two manners: having more than one tRNA (with a specific anti-codon) for a particular amino acid; and 'wobble' base-pairing, i.e. permitting non-standard base-pairing at the 3rd anti-codon position. Lineage: Bacteria; Pseudomonadati; Thermodesulfobacteriota; Desulfovibrionia; Desulfovibrionales. RNAcentral also lists the same sequence under 3 other names. The record is from RNAcentral.
GCCGAGGUGGUGGAACUGGUAGACACGCUACUUUGAGGGGGUAGUGAGAGAAAUCUCAUAGGGGUUCGAGUCCCCUCCUCGGCACCA